RNAcentral lists this ribosomal RNA (269 nucleotides) under uncultured bacterium. Its description in RNAcentral is "partial 16S ribosomal RNA". It matches the Rfam family "Bacterial small subunit ribosomal RNA", at positions 338 to 599 of the family's 1533-position model. The record is from RNAcentral.
CCUACGGGGGGCAGCAGUAGGGAAUCUUCCACAAUGGACGAAAGUCUGAUGGAGCAACGCCGCGUGAGUGAAGAAGGGUUUCGGCUCGUAAAGAUCUGUUGGUAGUGAAGAAAGAUAGAGGUAGUAACUGGCCUUUAUUUGACGGUAAUUACUUAGAAAGUCACGGAUAACUACGUGCCAGCAGCCGCGGUAAUACGUAGGGGGCAAGCGUUGUCCGGAUUUAUUGGGCGUAAAGCGAGUGCAGGCGGUUAUAAUAAGUUGGUGUGAGA